AAAAGUCUCAUCUGCACAUAGUCUGUUUGCAUGUUUUUGAUUUUUUUUUUCUUUUAUUAGCUUAUUUCCAUGUGGUUUCUUAAGGUAAUUCUCGAUCUUGCCUCAGAAAAAUCAUAAGGCUGCCAUAUGGGUGCAUAAUCAGGCCAAAGAAAAUAAGAAAAUGUGAGGCUCACAGACCUCUAAUAUUAUCAAGAACAUCACUCUGCAUGUGGAAGCUUUGGUACAUUUCAAUCAGUUUGGAAGGUCAGCCAGAAAAAUGGAGAAGACAAAUUGUUUACAUUUACCCCUAAAACAAAUGCAUAUACCUAGAUUAAACUAAUUUCACUUACUGCUUUAUUAUUGCAAUAUGAGCUGCACAUCUAAAAACCAUCUGCAUGCAGAAAAAUAGGGCAUUGCUAGAUACCAGAUUAAGAAUAAAAAAGUGAAGAAGGAUAAGAAUGUAUGCUGGGCUCUUCAAGGAAGAAGGCAUGGGAAAAAGAGUGUUCAUUUGGGAAAAGCUCAGCUUGCUCUAUUGCAAUGACCUUCACUCAUGCUCUGCAUCUGCAAACUCAGUGACAACAUCUUUGCUUUUUUUAUAUUCAUACUACUUGUGUACACUGCCCAAAUUAAUCAUAGUAUACAAUAUCUUACAGCAGUCUGAAAAAGCUCACUAGUUCAAAAGUCACAGAUUGAUAGAAGCGCUGAGAAAUAAUAAAGCUCAACACGCUUGUUGCAGUAGACAGUGAUGUGAUCAUUGUAGCUCUGAUUCAUGCAUUACAUCUUCUGUUUUUCAUUCCAUAUGUUGCUGCCGAAUGUCCAGCCCAAGGAAGCUAUGUGUCGGGACAUAUUUCAUUGUGCUUUUCUAUUGAUUGUAUGGAAUGCAAGCAGAAUUCCUGCAAGAUAGCAAACUACUUCAGAAAAAUCAUGAGCAAAGGCAGAUGAGCCUACGUCUCCUCCCAAGCCUCCUGCUGCCAACAGAUCCCAGGUAAAUUGAGGCAUAAGGAUUCCUCCAAUCUAAAUAGAAUUAAUGAGAAGAAAGUUGAAGAAAACACAGAAGAUCAACAUUCCA
This is a long non-coding RNA of Gallus gallus (chicken), 1048 nucleotides long. The record is from Ensembl. Lineage: Eukaryota; Metazoa; Chordata; Aves; Galliformes; Phasianidae.